This 929-nucleotide ribosomal RNA is filed under the name Fomitopsis quercina. RNAcentral's name for it is "eukaryotic LSU rRNA". It matches the Rfam family "Eukaryotic large subunit ribosomal RNA", at positions 45 to 960 of the family's 3401-position model. Lineage: Eukaryota; Fungi; Basidiomycota; Agaricomycetes; Polyporales; Fomitopsidaceae. The record is from RNAcentral.
AAUAAGCGGAGGAAAAGAAACUAACAAGGAUUCCCCUAGUAACUGCGAGUGAAGCGGGAAAAGCUCAAAUUUAAAAUCUGGCGGUCUUUGGCCGUCCGAGUUGUAGUCUGGAGAAGUGUUUUCCGUGCUGGACCGUGUACAAGUCUCUUGGAACAGAGCGUCAUAGAGGGUGAGAAUCCCGUCUUUGACACGGACUACCAGUGCUUUGUGAUGCGCUCUCAAAGAGUCGAGUUGUUUGGGAAUGCAGCUCAAAAUGGGUGGUAAAUUCCAUCUAAAGCUAAAUAUUGGCGAGAGACCGAUAGCGAACAAGUACCGUGAGGGAAAGAUGAAAAGCACUUUGGAAAGAGAGUUAAACAGUACGUGAAAUUGCUGAAAGGGAAACGCUUGAAGUCAGUCGCGUUGAUCAGAACUCAGCCUUGCUUUUGCUUGGUGCAUUUUCUGGUUGACGGGCCAGCAUCGAUUUUGACCAUCGGAAAAAGGCCAGGGGAAUGUGGCACCUUCGGGUGUGUUAUAGCCCUUGGUCACAUACGGUGGUUGGGAUCGAGGACCGCAGCACGCCUUUAUGGCCGGGGUUCGCCCACGUUCGUGCUUAGGAUGCUGGCGUAAUGGCUUUAAACGACCCGUCUUGAAACACGGACCAAGGAGUCUAACAUGCCUGCGAGUGUUUGGGUGGAAAACCCGAGCGCGUAAUGAAAGUGAAAGUUGAGAUCCCUGUCGUGGGGAGCAUCGACGCCCGGACCUGAACUUCGGUGAUGGCUCUGCGGUAGAGCAUGUAUGUUGGGACCCGAAAGAUGGUGAACUAUGCCUGAAUAGGGUGAAGCCAGAGGAAACUCUGGUGGAGGCUCGUAGCGAUUCUGACGUGCAAAUCGAUCGUCAAAUUUGGGUAUAGGGGCGAAAGACUAAUCGAACCAUCUAGUAGCUGGUUCCUG